Molecule: long non-coding RNA, 1496 nt
Organism: Diceros bicornis minor
Lineage: Eukaryota; Metazoa; Chordata; Mammalia; Perissodactyla; Rhinocerotidae
Exons: 4
Source: RefSeq, a predicted model, not a curated record
AGAGGACAGUCAACCUGGAAUGGCUGAGAAUCCGUGGACGACUGGAGCUCAGCAGACCAACUCGGAGCAUUUCCUGAAGGUGAAUGUCCCCAAGGUGAAGAAUAUGAGGCUUGGAGAAGUGCUCGCUUCUAGAAAGUGGCAGAGCAAGAACUGGACCCCGGACGCGGCUGACUCCAAGUCCAAGUUCUCCUAUUCACUAGGCGGCCUCUUUAACUGUCUUCAUGCUCAUCCAAGAGAAAAACAAUUAGCCCUCCUUUGUCCUGUGAGUCAGACAGAGGUUGGAAAGGGCUGUCUUCUCACUCUGCCUCCCAGCUUACACGUCUCUCAGAAGACUGCCAUGGGAGCCCCAGCCCUGGGGUAGAGCCAGGUUUGGGCGGUCAGCCGCCGGGGAGCUGGGCUCUGGCUGCCUGGGUCCUGCUGAAGGCGUCUCUGCACCUCGUUUGGUAGUUCCUGCUUGAGAAGCUAGCCUGGAACACUGCUGCUCUUUGUGGAGAAAGAAUGUUCUCAUCUCACCCUUUUCUGGGAUGAGGUGGCUGGCCCAGUGGAGACAUAGCAAUCAGAAACAGAUUAAAUUCAGAUCUUGUUCAUUUUACUACCUGUGCCCAGGGGCCCGAGGAUUGGUUAUAAUUUGGCGUUCAUUUUCCAGACAAUUUCAUUUUGCCUCAAAGUGUGAAGAGGCAACAAGGACUUUUAAAAUGAUGUGCGGCAAAGAGCAAGAGAAGGCGGUGGGGGCACUCAGGAGAGAGGGCUACCUGAGUCUCUAACGUGUCUCUUCCGAGCUUCUUACAGGAAAGAGAGCAGAGCUCCCAGACAGGGGAAAAAAUCUUAAGAGGCUCUUGAUAAGAAAUAUGCUGGCACUUGUCAUUUACCCAAUGGCUCCUAAUCCUCUUUCAUGUGCUGAAAUCCCCUUGAAUUGGAUUAUAAAAUUCCUCCUGGUAGAAAGCACUUCACUAGAAAAUGCAAAGUCUUUGAUUGAGAAAGAAAACAAACACUAAUUUGAAUUUUUUUGCCUUAGUAAAGAAGAUAUGGGUAGAAGCUAUAUCUUCAUAUCACUGAAAAAGCUGCGCUCCUGCCAUUUGAUCCCUCAGUUCCCAGAUGUGCGAUGCGCACACGGUCUCAGGACCGAGGGCAGCCCUCCCUCCACCCUCUUCAGAUUAUCCACGCACAUGAUGCAAAACUUGAAAGAUCUCAGAGUGGACAGUGAAAGCUCCUGGUUGGUGACUAUUGGGUCUGUGCUGUUAACCCUUCCAGGGCCACGUUGGAUGAUGGCAGGAGAGGAAUAUGCAUUGAGGUCACUUCCUCUGAGAAAACAUGUGCUCUCCAUAACCCACUGUGGGGUGCUGCCCACGCUCCUGGCCCCCUGCGUUAAUGUCUCUCUUCCCCAGUCAGCCAGCAGCCAUCAACACAGUGGCAGGAUUCACCAGCGUGUUGCACUUGGGCCUGGAUUGUGUGGCAAGUAAUUUGCACUACUAAUAGUAAAAGCACCAAAGUUUUCG